Belonocnema kinseyi is the source of this 2194-nucleotide RNA transcript. RefSeq lists it as uncharacterized. The transcript has 3 exons. The record is from RefSeq and is a predicted model, not a curated record. Lineage: Eukaryota; Metazoa; Arthropoda; Insecta; Hymenoptera; Cynipidae.
GGCGAAUGUGGUGGGAAUUCUGGAGACUCAGAUCGAAGCUAGCUGUUUCCCUCUAUUUUCUCUAAAUCGUCGUAACGUCUGCAGAGAGUUAGAAUAACGCGUGCUUCCAUCCACGACAUCGCCAUUUCACGAUUAGUCGUCUAUCAUGAAGCAGUUUUGGUCAAACAGCAAGGAGGAUUUAGUUGCUGCGGAGGAAGGCAAAGCGAAUUUGGUACCAGUUCCUAAAAAUGGUUGUCGGAAGUUUACACAAAUCGUCCAAUCAAUUUUGGUGAUUGAAAUCGCCCUUUUUCUCGGAUGGGCCUUUUUUUCAUUCUAUCAAAGCCAAUACGUUUCGCCGACGGAUCUGAAGGAGGACCAAUUAAGGAAAAGUGCACUGAAGAAGAAUUUUCAAUUGAAUCCAGAUAGUCCGAAUGAUUUAGAUUUUAUUACAUGGCAAGAGAAAUCAAGUCAGAACAAGGCAUUCGAUCCACCAUCGAGCAGUGAACCUUGGUCGGCAAAAACGCAAAACGUUCUGAUCCCUGAAUCAUUCACGGAAACUGAUUCAGUCUUACUUAACGAAGAUUCUGUUUUUCAUUCACAACAAUCUUCACCUUACGUAACAAUACCUUCAGAAAUAAAGGAAUCUACUGAAUAUGUUACAGAAACUACUCCUGUGCCAACGCAUAUUGCAAACCUAAAAAAUCAGGAAAAUUUGAAUGAAUUUGAAUCUGAAAUUGGAAUGUCAAUUGUUACCGAAGCACCCAGAAAAAUGGUAGAAGAUAUAGCAGAAACAAGUUCAGAGAUUCCUCAAAUGUCAACUUUGGUAGCAGAAAUGGAUGGUAAUUCCAGCGCGGUUGAAAAGUUUCAAAAGGAACUAGAGAAAGAAAUUCAAAAGGUUUUGGACAAAUCACAAAAAGAUGAAGAUUUCUCUCCACUAAAUCUUAUUCAAAUUUUGCACGAUUUAGACAGAGCUAAGGCUACAGCUGCAGAAAGUGUACCCGCUGAAGAAAUUGUACCAUCGUAUGUUAAAAAGUAUCAUUUCCAAUUUUCGAUGGGACCAGAAACUGGAAUUCAAGAAAGUGUUGAUAAUGAAAAGUCUCAAGAAGUUUCGCAACAGAUUCCAUUCUUUAUACACGUUUUUUUUAAUGUGAGUGAUAGUGAUGUGUCUUCAGCUGAGAAUGCUGAUAGUUUCUUACAAGGUAAACAAAGUGUCUCAGAUCCAGGAUCUUUCUUCGCAGAUUCUGGAUUUUCCAGACAGCCAACAAUUGAAGACAGCUCUUUGGAUGACGAAUCUCUGAAGUGGUGGGUCAACAUUCCGGAAUUUCAGCAGACGAAAGUUGGAAGCUUCAGUGAUGAAGAAUCUCAACGAGAAAGUAUGAUUCUGACAAGCGCACCUAAAAAUGAAGAAUCUGGAGAACAAAGUUUGUUUAACUUAUUUUUUAAUCAAUCAGAUUCCCCAAGUGUAAUCCCUGAAUCGAACGAACAUGAAUAUAAAUCCAAUGAAGUACUAGAGGCUCAGCCAGAAAGUUCAGACACUCUUCUCACAGCCGCUGUUUCACAGAUUUUGCCUGAUGAAGUAGACCUAGUUGAUCAACAUAUGAAAAAAAUUGACGAACAGAGUUCAGUGGAGCCAAAUCAUGGAUAUGUAAAAGAGGCGAUUCCUGAAGAAGCAUUGGUAAAUGAAGCAGAAUUAGAAAAACAAAUAAACGAUUUUAUGAAAGCACUUGAAAAUAUCAAAAUUUCAAAUGAAGAUCGUGUUAUUAAUGGUAUUCACACUGAAAGUAAUUUAAAUCAAGAGGAAAGUAUGAAAGUGGAGGAAGAAACAGUUUCUGAAGAAAAUCAAGAAAUUCCAGAAACGGAUAUUUCUUGGAAGGACGAACAAAAACGGUUUCAUUCUCAACCAACCUGGAAAGAAGAGACAGAUGGAGAUUUAAACGAAUGGUUUAAAAAUUUGGAAGCCGAGAAUUACGAGUAUGAAGAAUCUUCGAAAUUUGAUUCAAGAGAUUACAUGUAUAAUGAUUAGGAAACAGGAGUGUUCUUUUUGUCAUUACAUCUAAUGACUCUAAAACAUGAGAGAGUCUAAUUUUUGGGAUUAGCCUUUAAAUUUGAAAACGAGUCCGACUACUCAGACUAGUUUCCAAUACAUUUUAUGUAAGCUAUACUGAUUAAGGAAAGAGUAAUAGUCAGCGAUGGAAAAUAAAUUAUGUAAUAGUAA